GGGCGUUAAGUUGCAGGGUAUAGACCCGAAACCCGGUGAUCUAGCCAUGGGCAGGUUGAAGGUUGGGUAACACUAACUGGAGGACCGAACCGACUAAUGUUGAAAAAUUAGCGGAUGACCUGUGGCUGGGGGUGAAAGGCCAAUCAAACCGGGAGAUAGCUGGUUCUCCCCGAAAGCUAUUUAGGUAGCGCCUCGUGAAUUCAUCUCCGGGGGUAGAGCACUGUUUCGGCUAGGGGGCCAUCCCGGCUUACCAACCCGAUGCAAACUGCGAAUACCGGAGAAUGUUAUCACGGGAGACACACGGCGGGUGCUAACGUCCGUCGUGAAGAGGGAAACAACCCAGACCGCCAGCUAAGGUCCCAAAGUCAUGGUUAAGUGGGAAACGAUGUGGGAAGGCCCAGACAGCCAGGAUGUUGGCUUAGAAGCAGCCAUCAUUUAAAGAAAGCGUAAUAGCUCACUGGUCGAGUCGGCCUGCGCGGAAGAUGUAACGGGGCUAAACCAUGCACCGAAGCUGCGGCAGCGACACUGUGUGUUGUUGGGUAGGGGAGCGUUCUGUAAGCCUGUGAAGGUGGCCUGUGAGGGUUGCUGGAGGUAUCAGAAGUGCGAAUGCUGACAUAAGUAACGAUAAAGCGGGUGAAAAGCCCGCUCGCCGGAAGACCAAGGGUUCCUGUCCAACGUUAAUCGGGGCAGGGUGAGUCGACCCCUAAGGCGAGGCCGAAAGGCGUAGUCGAUGGGAAACGGGUUAAUAUUCCCGUACUUGGUGUUACUGCGAAGGGGGGACGGAGAAGGCUAUGUUGGCCGGGCGACGGUUGUCCCGGUUUAAGCGUGUAGGUGUGUGUUCCAGGUAAAUCCGGUUCACUUUAACACUGAGGCGUGACGACGAGGCACUACGGUGCUGAAGCAACAAAUGCCCUGCUUCCAGGAAAAGCCUCUAAGCAUCAGGUAACAUCAAAUCGUACCCCAAACCGACACAGGUGGUCAGGUAGAGAAUACCAAGGCGCUUGAGAGAACUCGGGUGAAGGAACUAGGCAAAAUGGUGCCGUAACUUCGGGAGAAGGCACGCUGACACGUAGGUGAAGUGAUUUACUCAUGGAGCUGAAGUCAGUCGAAGAUACCAGCUGGCUGCAACUGUUUAUUAAAAACACAGCACUGUGCAAACACGAAAGUGGACGUAUACGGUGUGACGCCUGCCCGGUGCCGGAAGGUUAAUUGAUGGGGUCAGCGCAAGCGAAGCUCCUGAUCGAAGCCCCGGUAAACGGCGGCCGUAACUAUAACGGUCCUAAGGUAGCGAAAUUCCUUGUCGGGUAAGUUCCGACCUGCACGAAUGGCGUAAUGAUGGCCAGGCUGUCUCCACCCGAGACUCAGUGAAAUUGAACUCGCUGUGAAGAUGCAGUGUACCCGCGGCAAGACGGAAAGACCCCGUGAACCUUUACUAUAGCUUGACACUGAACAUUGAGCCUUGAUGUGUAGGAUAGGUGGGAGGCUUUGAAGCGUGGACGCCAGUCUGCGUGGAGCCAACCUUGAAAUACCACCCUUUAAUGUUUGAUGUUCUAACGUGGACCCGUAAUCCGGGUUGCGGACAGUGUCUGGUGGGUAGUUUGACUGGGGCGGUCUCCUCCUAAAGAGUAACGGAGGAGCACGAAGGUUGGCUAAUCCUGGUCGGACAUCAGGAGGUUAGUGCAAUGGCAUAAGCCAGCUUGACUGCGAGCGUGACGGCGCGAGCAGGUGCGAAAGCAGGUCAUAGUGAUCCGGUGGUUCUGAAUGGAAGGGCCAUCGCUCAACGGAUAAAAGGUACUCCGGGGAUAACAGGCUGAUACCGCCCAAGAGUUCAUAUCGACGGCGGUGUUUGGCACCUCGAUGUCGGCUCAUCACAUCCUGGGGCUGAAGUAGGUCCCAAGGGUAUGGCUGUUCGCCAUUUAAAGUGGUACGCGAGCUGGGUUUAGAACGUCGUGAGACAGUUCGGUCCCUAUCUGCCGUGGGCGCUGGAGAACUGAGGGGGGCUGCUCCUAGUACGAGAGGACCGGAGUGGACGCAUCACUGGUGUUCGGGUUGUCAUGCCAAUGGCACUGCCCGGUAGCUAAAUGCGGAAGAGAUAAGUGCUGAAAGCAUCUAAGCACGAAACUUGCCCCGAGAUGAGUUCUCCCUGAGACUUAGAGUCUCCUGAAGGAACGUUGAAGACGACGACGUUGAUAGGCCGGGUGUGUAAGCGCAGCGAUGCGUUGAGCUAACCGGUACUAAUGAACCGUGAGGCUUAACCUUAC
This 2261-nucleotide ribosomal RNA is filed under the name Salmonella enterica subsp. enterica serovar Worthington str. ATCC 9607. RNAcentral's name for it is "bacterial LSU rRNA". It matches the Rfam family "Bacterial large subunit ribosomal RNA", at positions 690 to 2925 of the family's 2925-position model. The record is from RNAcentral. Lineage: Bacteria; Pseudomonadati; Pseudomonadota; Gammaproteobacteria; Enterobacterales; Enterobacteriaceae.